GGCCAACAAUUAAUUGCUAUUGAUUACGCUACAUUAUCCUCACUGACCGUGAUAAUGUAGCGUAAUCAAUAGCCAAUUAAUCUGUUGGCCGGUAUGAAUGGCAUCACGAAGGCCCCACUGUCUUAAGAGGACUCUCCAUGAAAUUGAAUUCGUAGUGAAGAUGCUACGUCCAUAUUGUAAGACGAAAAGACCCCAUUGAGCUUUACUAAAGACUUGUAUGGCUCGAAAUAACUUAAAUAAAAAGUUUAGAUAAUGUGGGAUCCGUUUUUGGUUAAUGAAACACCACUCUUUUAUUUUAAGAGAGCUAACCUUGCAGGGAGAAUGCAAGUUGGAUAGUUUGGUUGGGGCGACCACCUUUUAAAAGGUAACGAAGGUGAGCUUAAGGUCCGUAGUUAAUAGCUAGUGGCCUGACUGCAAGGGGGACAUCCCGAGCAGACACUGGAAAUCUCUCAGUGGGUUAUAGUGACCCGUCAUCUUAGAGUGGAAUAGUUGACGAUCAACGAAUAAAAGCUACCAUGGGGGGGAUU
RNAcentral lists this ribosomal RNA (527 nucleotides) under Actinothoe sphyrodeta. RNAcentral's name for it is "partial 16S ribosomal RNA". It matches the Rfam family "Bacterial large subunit ribosomal RNA", at positions 1929 to 2479 of the family's 2925-position model. The record is from RNAcentral. Lineage: Eukaryota; Metazoa; Cnidaria; Anthozoa; Actiniaria; Sagartiidae.